ACGGAGGGUGCGAGCGUUAUUCGGAAUUACUGGGCGUAAAGCGCGUGUAGGCGGGGAUGCAAGUCUGAUGUGAAAGCCCUGGGCUUAACCUGGGAAGUGCAUUGGAAACUGCAUUUCUUGAGUACUGGAGAGGAAGGGGGAAUUCCCGGUGUAGAGGUGAAAUGCGUAGAGAUCGGAAGGAAUACCAAUGGCGUAGGCACCCUUCUGGGCGGUUACUGACGCUGAUGCGCGAAAGCGUGGGGAGCAAACAG
Molecule: ribosomal RNA, 251 nt
Filed under: uncultured prokaryote
Description: partial 16S rRNA
Rfam family: Bacterial small subunit ribosomal RNA
Source: RNAcentral